Molecule: ribosomal RNA, 459 nt
Filed under: uncultured bacterium
Lineage: Bacteria
Description: partial 16S ribosomal RNA
Rfam family: Bacterial small subunit ribosomal RNA
Source: RNAcentral
CCUACGGGAGGCAGCAGUGAGGAAUAUUGGUCAAUGGCCGGAAGGCUGAACCAGCCAAGCCGCGUGAGGGAGGAAGGCGCAGAGCGUCGCAGACCUCUUUUGCCGGGGGACAAAAGGCCGGACUCGUCCGGUCCUGAGGGUACCCGGAGAAAAAGCAUCGGCUAACUCCGUGCCAGCAGCCGCGGUAAUACGGGGGAUGCGAGCGUUAUCCGGAUUCAUUGGGUUUAAAGGGUGCGCAGGCGGGCCUUUAAGCCGGCGGUGAAAUCGCGGGGCUCAACCCCGCCGAGUCGUCGGAACUGGGGGCCUUGAGUGCGGCGGAGGCAUGCGGAAUGCGCGGUGUAGCGGUGAAAUGCAUAGAUAUCGCGCAGAACCCCGAUUGCGAAGGCAGCGGGCCGUGCCGCCACUGACGCUGAGGCACGAAAGCGCGGGGAUCGAACAGGACUAGAUACCCUGGUAGUC